GACGAACGCUGGCGGCGUGGAUUAGGCAUGCAAGUCGAACGGUAUCAUCCUUUCGGGGGUGAGAGAGUGGCGAACUGGUGAGUAACACGUAGGUUAUCUACCCUCAAGACGGGGACAACCCAGGGAAACUUGGGCUAAUACCGGAUGUGAGCAACUUUUAGUUGUUUGAAAGGUGGCGUAAGCUGUCGCUUGGGGAUGAGCCUGCGUCCUAUUAGUUAGUUGGUGAGGUAACGGCUCACCUAGGCAAUGAUAGGUAGGCGGCCUUAACGGGUGGUCGCCCACACUGGGAUUGAGAUACGGCCCAGACUCCUACGGGAGGCAGCAGUCGAGAAUAGUCUACAAUGGUCGGAAGACUGAUAGUGCGACGCCGCGUGAACGAUGAAUCCCUUCGGGGUGUAAAGUUCUUUUAUAUGUGAGCAGUGCUUCUUAUAUUUAACAGUAUGGGGAAGAGAUAUUAGCAUAUGAAUAAGCAACGGCUAACUCCGUGCCAGCAGCCGACGGUAAACUCGU
Molecule: ribosomal RNA, 510 nt
Filed under: uncultured bacterium
Lineage: Bacteria
Description: bacterial SSU rRNA
Rfam family: Bacterial small subunit ribosomal RNA
Source: RNAcentral